UACGGAGGAUGCGAACGUUAUCCGGAUUUAUUGGGUUUAAAGGGUGCGUAGGCGGCCUUGUAAGUCAGCGGUGAAAUUUUGCAGCUUAACUGUAAAAGUGCCGUUGAUACUGUGAGGCUAGGAUUUGGUUGCUGUGGGUGGAAUGUGUGGUGUAGCGGUGAAAUGCUUAGAGAUCACACAGAAUAUCAAUUGCGAAGGCAGCUCACAAAGCCAAGAUUGACGCUGAGGCACGAAAGUGUGGGGAUCAAACAGGAUUA
RNAcentral lists this ribosomal RNA (257 nucleotides) under uncultured prokaryote. RNAcentral describes it as "partial 16S ribosomal RNA". It matches the Rfam family "Bacterial small subunit ribosomal RNA", at positions 524 to 780 of the family's 1533-position model. The record is from RNAcentral.